Long non-coding RNA from Oxyura jamaicensis (ruddy duck), 743 nucleotides. RefSeq lists it as uncharacterized. Lineage: Eukaryota; Metazoa; Chordata; Aves; Anseriformes; Anatidae. The record is from RefSeq and is a predicted model, not a curated record. The transcript has 3 exons.
UCACCUACCACUUGAACAAGAGACAGAACAGUUACAAUUGCACAAAAGAAAAGUUUGCUUCAUUCCAUUGUCUAUAAGAGGGAACUGUGUUAACUAUCAUGGUUGCAGAAAUCAGCUGUGUAGAAGUCUAACAAGGAUUGUCAUCAAAGGUGGCUGAGAAGGACAGCAACUGUCUGUAUGGUUCAACCAUGAGCCAAAGAAUGACACAGCUGAGAAGUGAAAAUCACAAGCAUGCUAAAGGGGUUGAGAUUCUCAGUUCCUGAAGACUGCCCCCUUAGGCUGUAAAGGUGCAACAAACUGGAGGAAAAUUACAACUCUUAUUUUUGAAUGCUUUCCAUCCCCUUUCUUCUUUCCAACUUUUUUUUUCUAUGCAAACAGAGAAAUAUAUUUUUCCUAGUGUAAAGUAACCAUGGAGUAUAAGAAUUUCUUUUGAUUCAGAAUCCAGAACUGAAUAGAAUUGCUAUAGUCAUUUGUUAUUAACUUCAACAGCUCUCAGCCACAAACAGCUGUUGUUGCAAAUGUAGUCUGUGAAUUGUCCAUUUUUCAGACAAAGUUUAAAUGCCCAUGUAGUUAAAUACCAACAGCUCACAUUGGUUGUGUAAACCCUGUAGUAAACACAGUUUGUCAGUCUGUUUUCCCAACUGUGCAUUUGAAUGCACAGUUGAGAAAACCCUCUAAAUAUGUUCUCCUUCCUUCCUAUUACAUGUGCUCUCUAGACUAAAGAAGCAUUCAGUAUGUUGGGC